GUGUCCACUCCCAGGUCCAGCUGCAGCAGUCUGGGNNUGAACUGGUGAGNCCUGGGNCCUCAGUGAAGAUNUCCUGCAAGGCNUCUGGAUAUACNUUCACUGACUAUGCUAUGCAGUGGGUGAAGCAGANUCAUGGAAANAGCCUAGAGUGGAUUGGCUUUAUUAACCCUUACAAUGAUUAUACUAGCUACAACCAGAAGUUCAAGGGCAAGGCCACAAUGACUGUAGACAAAUCCUNCAGCACAGCCCACAUGGAGCUUAGCAGAUUGACAUCUGAGGACUCUGCAGUCUAUUACUGUGCAAGACAUAGUGGUUCAACUACAUCCUGA
Molecule: non-coding RNA, 329 nt
Organism: Mus pahari (shrew mouse)
Lineage: Eukaryota; Metazoa; Chordata; Mammalia; Rodentia; Muridae
Source: the annotation of a RefSeq genome assembly